Non-coding RNA from Ictidomys tridecemlineatus (thirteen-lined ground squirrel), 1805 nucleotides. The record is from RefSeq and is a predicted model, not a curated record. Lineage: Eukaryota; Metazoa; Chordata; Mammalia; Rodentia; Sciuridae.
UGCCAUCCCCUCUCGGCGGCCGAGCGGAGCGCCGGCGGCUGGCGUCACUUGUCCCCCCAGUUGUUCUGGGGAAACUGAGGCUCACGCAGCCUGGCCACUGGCCAGGACGCGGCUGGGGGCAAACGUUUCUUUGGGCGGUUUGGCAGGGAUGUGUCUGCGCACUGGAAAGCAAACCCCAGACCCACGUACCCGCCCCCACGGCCCUCCAGCCCCCGGAGCUGGGGGAACAGGAGGCGGCGGAGGGGACCAGGUGGCCUGCAGCCCGGGCUUGAGUACCGGUCAAGCAGGGCCCCUCCUGGUGCCUCGGGCUCCCCUCUGCGAGGCGCGCACGACAGCGCUGGAGGACACACUGCCCCCGACUCUCGCUGUCGGUCUCCUGCGCCGCGUGGGUUGCGGCCCCGAGGCCCAAACCUCCGCGUCUUCGCCGGGCCCUGACGUCGCGCUGACGCCACCAGGCCCCCUCCCCGCGGGGUCCGGCAGCCCAGAGUGGUUAACUCUUCCGCUGCCACGCGAGACCCCCAGGGUCCUUUCUCCCUCCACUCGCUCCCUGCCCGGAGAGGGUCCAGGCUGGGCCCCGACGUCGGAGUGUCCUGGACGGACCUGGAAGACAGGCCCUUAGCCCGGGCUGUUCCCUUCGCCUGGAAUGCGGCUCCAGUCCCAGGUCAAGCCCGUGUUUACUGGGACAUCGCUCCCUCCCGCCGGGCCCUGACCCCUCCGAGGCUGGGCGUGACCGCGUCUGGCUGGAUCUCCCGGCCCGGGGUGGGGCCUCUCCUCAGCCACUUGCUGUUUCAAGCUCUAGGAGGGCUGGGGGCUGAAGAGCUGGGCCCAGAAUGCCCAGCGCAGGCGCACCAGGGACUGUCCAAUGAGCCAACCAUGAUGCCCCCAACCCAAAUCCAACCGACUCCUCAAGGUGAUCUAGUAACAGUGGAUUCCUGAUCUUCUGACCAACACCUACGCACACCUGCUGGACCCCAACAUCGGAACCUGUGAAAGGACCUAACUCCACUGGUGCAUACAGCAGGUGCACAUUCAGUGCACACUGGGGGAACGCAGGCACUGCUCCUAGGAGCUCUUUCCUUCAGGUGCUAGAGACCUAAGGCUGGAGUCCUUCAGCCCCUUCACAAACACUGAUCUGCGCCACUCCUUGAGGCCUUUGAGGAGGCUAGGGGCACCAGUCUCAGGGACAACUGGACUCUGUUGUCAUCAAUGCGGGAUGUGCCAGGUUCAAUCAAUGUCCAGGGACCUGUUGCGCCCGCUGCCUUAUUUGUAAUAUGGCCUUCUGAGGCUGAAGGAGCCGGUGCCACCCAAAGGGCAGAAGCUGGGUCCCCUCCAUAGGGCUAGUCAAACACCUGCACAGGGACGGGACAGGACGGCGGUUGCGGCUCCAGGGGAGGGCGGAAGUGGGGCAGUGGCGAGGGGGGAGCCGCAGCCCUCCGCGGUAACCUGAUCCUCAGGAAUGCGCCGAGGCCAGACGCGCCCCCAGCCCCAGGCCGCGGCCCCUCCCCCAGCCACCCCGCGGGAUCCUGCCACCUGGGGGACUGUUCUCCGUCCCCAAGCCCUGCCCCCACUAGCCAGUUUGUUUUCUGGGCAGAGUUACCCUGUCCCAGCCCUCCAGGGUCCUGAGCUCUGGGGGACCAUCCCCAGCAAGCCCCGCCCCCAGGAGGCCCCCUAGCCUUAUCCCCCUUCUGCUCCUCUAACUCCUAUUCUUUCCUCUCCCGGGGACUUUCUGUUUUAUCAAGUUGAUGGUAGGUCCCUGGGUGUUGAAUAAAGACUGAAAAUUCAGCCCAGUGGCAGAUCACUCUAAA